UCUCCGUUGGUGAACCAGCGGAGGGAUCAUUAUCGAGUUUAUAACUCCCAAACCCUAUGUGAACUUACCACUUGUUGCUUCGGCGCGCGCUUCGGCGCCGCCGAGGACACUUAAACUCUUUGUUUUUAUAAGCAUUUCUGAGUGGCCGAAAGGCAAAAUACAAAUGAAUCAAAACUUUCAACAACGGAUCUCUUGGUUAUGGCAUCAUGAAGAACGCAGC
This 220-nucleotide unclassified non-coding RNA is filed under the name plant metagenome. RNAcentral's name for it is "partial contains small subunit ribosomal RNA, internal transcribed spacer 1, and 5.8S ribosomal RNA". The record is from RNAcentral.